RNAcentral lists this ribosomal RNA (511 nucleotides) under [Candida] agrestis. RNAcentral's name for it is "eukaryotic LSU rRNA". It matches the Rfam family "Eukaryotic large subunit ribosomal RNA", at positions 89 to 650 of the family's 3401-position model. Lineage: Eukaryota; Fungi; Ascomycota; Saccharomycetes; Saccharomycetales. The record is from RNAcentral.
GCGAGUGAAGCGGCAAAAGCUCCACUUUGAAAGCGUUUCGGCGCGUUGUAGUGUGGUUCAGUCUUUGAGUCUAGGAGAACUAAGUCCUUUGGAACAAGGCGCCAUAGAGGGUGAGAGCCCCGUGAGUUCUCUUAUGGAUUCUUCAAGUCUGUACCGAAGAGUCGAGUUGUUUGGGAAUGCAGCUCUAAGUGGGUGGUAAAUUCCAUCUAAGGCUAAAUAUUGGCGAGAGACCGAUAGCGAACAAGUACAGUGAUGGAAAGAUGAAAAGCACUUUGAAAAGAGAGUGAAACAGUACGUGAAAUUGUUGAAAGGGAAGGGUAUUUGGCUCGACAUGGGUCCUGUGCACCGUUGCCUCUUGUAGGCGGCGCUCUGCUGGGGCCUGGGCCAGCAUCAGUUUUCUGGCGGGGAUAAGGCUCAGUGAACUACAAUGUAGGGAUCGGGGCGAUGCCCGCACGGGGGACUGAGGACUGCCGUUUUUGUAGGAUGCUGGCAUAACGGCCAAAUACCGCCC